AGUCGAGCGAACAGAUAAGGAGCUUGCUCCUUUGACGUUAGCGGCGGACGGGUGAGUAACACGUGGGUAACCUACCUAUAAGACUGGAAUAACUUCGGGAAACCGAAGCUAAUGCCGGAUAACAUGUAGAACCGCAUGGUUCUACAGUGAAAGAUGGCCUUGCUAUCACUUAUAGAUGGACCCGCGCCGUAUUAGCUAGUUGGUAAGGUAACGGCUUACCAAGGCAACGAUACGUAGCCGACCUGAGAGGGUGAUCGGCCACACUGGAACUGAGACACGGUCCAGACUCCUACGGGAGGCAGCAGUAGGGAAUCUUCCGCAAUGGGCGAAAGCCUGACGGAGCAACGCCGCGUGAGUGAUGAAGGUCUUCGGAUCGUAAAGCUCUGUUAUUAGGGAAGAACAAGUGCGUAAGUAACUGUGCGCACCUUGACGGUACCUAAUCAGAAAGCCACGGCUAACUACGUGCCAGCAGCCGCGGUAAUACGUAGGUGGCAAGCGUUAUCCGGAAUUAUUGGGCGUAAAGCGCGCGUAGGCGGUUUCUUAAGUCUGAUGUGAAAGCCCACGGCUCAACCGUGGAGGGUCAUUGGAAACUGGGAGACUUGAGUGCAGAAGAGGAAAGUGGAAUUCCAUGUGUAGCGGUGAAAUGCGCAUAGAUAUGGAGGAACACCAUUGGCGAAUGCGACUUUCUGGUCUGUAACUGACGCUGAUGUGCGAUUGCGUGGGGAUCAAACAGGAUUAUAUACUCUGGUAUUUCACGCCGUAAA
This 764-nucleotide ribosomal RNA is filed under the name Staphylococcus kloosii. Its description in RNAcentral is "bacterial SSU rRNA". It matches the Rfam family "Bacterial small subunit ribosomal RNA", at positions 60 to 806 of the family's 1533-position model. The record is from RNAcentral. Lineage: Bacteria; Bacillati; Bacillota; Bacilli; Caryophanales; Staphylococcaceae.